RNAcentral lists this small nuclear RNA (184 nucleotides) under Medicago truncatula (barrel medic). Its description in RNAcentral is "sRNA gene35281". It matches the Rfam family "U2 spliceosomal RNA". From Rfam's summary of the family: U2 is a small nuclear RNA (snRNA) component of the spliceosome (involved in pre-mRNA splicing). The record is from Rfam by way of RNAcentral. Lineage: Eukaryota; Viridiplantae; Streptophyta; Magnoliopsida; Fabales; Fabaceae.
AUCUCGUCUAUAUAAGAUUGAUAAUAUAUGUUCUUAUCAGUUUAAUAUCUGAUAUGUGGUCCAACGGAUCACACGAUAUUAAAUUACUUUUUUGAGGGGGAGAAGUCACCUCAGUAGCUUACUACUGGACUUUCUCAUAUGUCGCUCAUGCGUUGCACUAUUGCAUGAGUCAGAUGCAUCCCAC